CCUACGGGAGGCAGCAGGAGGGAAUAUUGCUCAAUGGGGGAAACCCUGAAGCAGCAACGCCGCGGGGAGGAUGAAGGUUUUCGGAUGGUAAACUCCUUGUGUUAGAGAAGAGAAUGACGGUAGCUAACGAAUAAGCACCGGCUAACUCCGUGCCAGCAGCCGCGGUAAGACGGAGGGUGCAAGCGUUACUCGGAAUAACUGGGCGUCAAGAGCGCGUAGGCGGGAUAGCAAGUCAGAUGUGAAAUCCUAUGGCUUAACCAUAGAACUGCAUUUGAAACUGUUAUUCUAGAGUAUGGGAGAGGUAGGUGUCAUUCUUGGUGUCGCGGUCAAUUCCGUAGAGCUC
Molecule: ribosomal RNA, 343 nt
Filed under: uncultured bacterium
Lineage: Bacteria
Description: partial 16S ribosomal RNA
Rfam family: Bacterial small subunit ribosomal RNA
Source: RNAcentral